This 464-nucleotide ribosomal RNA is filed under the name uncultured flagellate. RNAcentral describes it as "SSU rRNA". It matches the Rfam family "Eukaryotic small subunit ribosomal RNA", at positions 864 to 1332 of the family's 1831-position model. The record is from RNAcentral.
AAUGAUUGAUAGGGAUAGUUGGGGGUGCUAGUAUUCAGCGGCCAGAGGUGAUUCUCGGACGCUGAAGACUAACUUAUGCGAAAGCAUUCACCAAGGAUGUCUUCUUUAAUCAAGAACGAAAGUUGGGGGAUCGAAGACGAGCAGAUACCGUCGUAGUCUCUUCCAUAUACUAUGCCGACUAGGGAUGAGUGUACGUUGCAUUUCCGCGUUCAUUCGCUCCUUGUGAGAAAUCAAAGUCUCUGGGCUCCGGUUCGAGUAUGGACGCAAAGCUGAAACUUAAAAGAAUUGACGGAAGGGUACCACCAGGAGUGGAGCCUGCGGCUUAAUUUGACUCAACACGGGAAAACUUACCAGGUCCAGACACAGUAAGGAUUGACAGAUUGAAGAUCUUUCUUGAUUCUGUGGGUGGUGGUGCAUGGCCGUUCUUAGUUGGUGGAGUGAUUUGUCUGGUUAAUCCCCUUAAC